CAAUAGCGUAUAUUAAAGUUGUUGCAGUUAAAAAGCUCGUAGUUGGAUUUCUGGUUGAAGCGACCGGUCGGGCGUUGAUUCGUCUGCACUGGAGUCGGUUUUGGCCAUCCUCUAGGAAAGUGCGUCUGGUAUUAAGUUAUCGGGCGUAUGAUCCUGGUCUUUUACUGUGAAAAAAUUAGAGUGUUUAAAGCAGGCAUUCGCCUUGAAUACAUUAGCAUGGAAUAAUAAGAUAGGACUUUGGUCUAUUUUGUUGGUUUGCAGACCGAAGUAAUGAUUAAUAGGGAUAGUUGGGGGUAUUUAUAUUCCGAUGUCAGAGGUGAAAUUCUUAGAUUUUCGGAAGAUAAACUUAUGCGAAAGCAUUUACCAAGGAUGUUUUCAUUAA
RNAcentral lists this ribosomal RNA (382 nucleotides) under uncultured eukaryote. RNAcentral's name for it is "partial 18S ribosomal RNA". It matches the Rfam family "Eukaryotic small subunit ribosomal RNA", at positions 592 to 976 of the family's 1831-position model. The record is from RNAcentral.